Molecule: non-coding RNA, 415 nt
Organism: Pocillopora verrucosa
Lineage: Eukaryota; Metazoa; Cnidaria; Anthozoa; Scleractinia; Pocilloporidae
Source: RefSeq, a predicted model, not a curated record
CUAGCACGAAUCACACGACGAUCUAUUUUAAUGACUUUGGUACAGGCAUGUAUCCAGCAAAGUUAUUUUUACACGAAAGGUAACAGAGAAGUGAAAGAAACUCGAACAGGAGUCGGUUUUCUAUGAACCGAAGUUCGGAUCUAUCAAAGAAUUACUCUGUAAACCACGAUCUAAAUGUCGACACCAGAGCUACAAUUUCGUGACAAUUGCCGAAAGAAGGUCCCUUAUGGGAUAAGAUUUAUACAAUGGAUUGGACGAGAACGUACACAAGCCUAUCGUGGAUGGGUCCUCAUACUGACGUUCUUUGCUUACACUUCGUAUCAUCUUUCAAGGAAACCUAUCAGUGUUGUAAAGGGCACAUUGAAACCAAAUUGUUCAAAAAUAAGUGAAAGUUGCCAUGGCUGGAAACCAUUUG